CAUCGUUCUUUUCCCCCUUGGGAAAUGAUUGCCCGUGAUUGCUUGGUCGCUGCAGAUCGGUAUCACGGCAGGGAAAAGAAAGAAGAAACGUGGCAGGACGCGCGCGGCAUGAGAAGUGGCUGUCCCCGGCGCCACCCGCGCGGGGGUCGCAGAUGAACCCCCUCACCUCGCUCGCUGUCCAAACGCCGGAGGCCCGCGUGGUUCCGGGUCUCGGGUCAAGCGGGCCCGACCUCCUCCGCUUGUAAUGGGCGCCGCCAACACCUUUUCAAACCUUAUAUGUUCUGUGUGAGGGGGAAAAGGCACAACAGCACAUUUUAAACGUAAAGUAUUAAGGGAAUCAGGACUCGUGGUAGAAAUGAUACCUUUUAUUAGACCAACAAGAUUUUUGCAAAAAAAAAAAAAAAUUCUUUAAUUGCAAGUUUUUAGUGGCGGGCACAAACACCCUUCAUCGGGCAUCGGAGAAAAGAUUGUAGAAGUUCUGGGUAGAAAUUAAAGUUCAUAUUUCAUAGGAUUUCACAGAGGAGUCAAUGGAUGGAAAACUCCUCUGGGCAGUCGGUUCAGAGCUGAGGGGUCUCCCACACUUGCAGUCUUAGGUGAUUUUCAAAAUUGUACUGACUAUGCUGCCUGGAGGAAGAAAAGUUUGCUUCAGAAAUAGCAUUGCAGUUAUCAAGACUGGAUCUUUUCCUUUAAGACAAACACAGCAAGAGUGGAAAAAGCUCACCAGAGGGAGAGCCGUUGUCUCUGGACUGUCCUUUGGUUCCUCUUCUCUGACAUGGGUUAUUCCAGAGGUGGGCAAAAUAUGUGUGGGGGGUCCCAAUGCCCCCCCAACCUCUGUCACCCCACAAACCCCAGGCCCCCACAGCCACCCAACAUAUACACAUCCCCCGAAACAUCCCCUACACACCCCUGCACACAGUCACACCCUCUCAACCCCCCUACCAUACACCCCCCUCAACCACACCCCACACACUCUCCCAUACAAUAUAUAAGAGUAAAACUUUAUUUUAGAGCUAUUAUGCAAUCCCCUCUAUAUACAGGACACAAACACAGAUCAGGACAAACAUAUGUUUUGCAAUAAAAUUAAAAUAUAGGUAGA
Alligator mississippiensis (American alligator) is the source of this 1096-nucleotide long non-coding RNA. RefSeq lists it as uncharacterized. Lineage: Eukaryota; Metazoa; Chordata; Crocodylia; Alligatoridae. The record is from RefSeq and is a predicted model, not a curated record. The transcript is spliced from 2 exons.